This 510-nucleotide ribosomal RNA is filed under the name uncultured bacterium. RNAcentral's name for it is "partial 16S ribosomal RNA". It matches the Rfam family "Bacterial small subunit ribosomal RNA", at positions 28 to 507 of the family's 1533-position model. The record is from RNAcentral.
GACGAACGCUGGCGGCGUGCUUAACACAUGCAAGUCGAACGAAGAGCGACGGAAGCUUGCUUCUCUCAAUCUUAGUGGCGAACGGGUGAGUAACGCGUAAUCAACCUGCCCUUCAGAGGGGGACAACAGUUGGAAACGACUGCUAAUACCGCAUACGAUCUAACCUCGGCAUCGAGGAUAGAUGAAAGGUGGCCUCUACAUGUAAGCUAUCACUGAAGGAGGGGAUUGCGUCUGAUUAGCUAGUUGGAGGGGUAACGGCCCACCAAGGCGAUGAUCAGUAGCCGGUCUGAGAGGAUGAACGGCCACAUUGGGACUGAGACACGGCCCAGACUCCUACGGGAGGCAGCAGUGGGGAAUCUUCCGCAAUGGACGAAAGUCUGACGGAGCAACGCCGCGGGAGUGAGGACGGCCUUCGGGUUGUAAAGCUCUGUUAAUCGGGACGAAAGGCCUUCUUGCGAAUAGGGAGAAGGAUUGACGGUACCGGAAGAGAAAGCCACGGCUAACUACGUG